Molecule: long non-coding RNA, 1053 nt
Organism: Lycium ferocissimum
Lineage: Eukaryota; Viridiplantae; Streptophyta; Magnoliopsida; Solanales; Solanaceae
Exons: 3
Source: RefSeq, a predicted model, not a curated record
UAUUCACUUUUCAUUUAUGCCACAGCUUGGAUAUCCUUAUAUUGAUUGUGGUCAAGUUUAUGGCAAUGAAAAAGAGGGAAUUUGAGUUAAUGAUAGAAAGUAAAAAUAUAGGUUUUUCAUAGACGUCUCCUGUAUUACUCAUGUUAUUAUCAAUGGACUUGUUAAUCUAUCACUUGCCUAGACACAAUAUAAAAGGGUUUCCAUUUUUAUGGUUUUCGCUCGAGAUCAAUCUUUCAAAACAUGUGUUCUACUAAUAUUUACUGCUUUCAUUUAAAACUAUGAUUUAUUCCUAUAGAAUGUGUAACGUGAUCAAUGUUUGUGUUCCUUUUUUUUACAUUAAUCUGUAACUGACAGUAUUACCUGUACUGACUAUUUUCCAAUUUAUUUAGAUUGGUCAAGUUUUGAAGAGGGUGUUUACAGAUGGUUUUGUCAAUAUAGGGAAGAUCUCUUUAUUACAUCCAAACUCUGGUGCACUGAUCAUGCUCUCAAGAUGUACCCGUGGCAUUUAACAAAACUCUAGAUGAGCUGGAACUUGAUUACAUUGAUCUGUACCUUGUGACCUAUUCAUCGGAAACCUGAUUCCAGCAGAUAACCGGAUGAAAAAUGUUGCUGGUAACUUUAAACCUGAUUCCAACAGAUAUACUUAGCACAUGGCAAGCAAUAGAGAAACUUUAUGAUUCUGGGGAGGCUAGAGAUAUUGGAUUUAGCAAUUUCUCUACUAAAAACUGGGAGUUCUUCUCGAAAUAACUCGUAUUCCUCCUAUUGUUAACCAACUGGAGUACCAAUGGUAAGAUUAGAGGGAAGGCAACAGUUUGUGAUGGGAGCUGGUAUUGGGAAAUGUGGUUUCUAAAGCUGUGAAGUUUGUCGGCUAGCCCAAGUCAUGCUUUUGUCGUAGUUAUGACUGAUUGAUCAUUACAGCUGCUGCAUAUAUGGCUGUGGUUUUGUUGAUAUAGUUACUUGCGCCGAAGGCUGAGGCAUCAUCCCACUGUAAUAAUGAUUAAACAAGUUUAAUUGUUAGCUAUGUCUUGAUGAACUUAACAGAAAUCAACAGGA